AGAUGUUUUGGGACUUCAACUCCCAUCAUCCCUAGCUAACAGGACCAGUGGUCAGGGAUGAUGGGAGUUGAAGUCCCAAAACAUCU
Non-coding RNA from Podarcis lilfordi (Lilford's wall lizard), 86 nucleotides. The record is from the annotation of a GenBank genome assembly. NCBI's taxonomy places the organism in Eukaryota, Metazoa, Chordata, Lepidosauria, Squamata, Lacertidae.